UGGGGAAUCUUAGACAAUGGGCGCAAGCCUGAUCUAGCCAUGCCGCGUGGGUGAUGAAGGCCUUAGGGUCGUAAAGCCCUUUCGCCGGGGAAGAUAAUGACGGUACCCGGUAAAGAAACCCCGGCUAACUCCGUGCCAGCAGCCGCGGUAAUACGGAGGGGGUUAGCGUUGUUCGGAAUGACUGGGCGUAAAGCGCGCGUAGGCGGAUCAUCAAGUCGGGGGUGAAAUCCCGGGGCUCAACCCCGGAAUGGCCUUCGAGACUGGUGGUCUUGAGUUCGAGAGAGGUGAGUGGAAUUCCGAGUGUAGAGGUGAAAUUCGUAGAUAUUCGGAGGAACACCAGUGGCGAAGGCGGCUCACUGGCUCGAUACUGACGCUGAGGUGCGAAAGCGUGGGGAGCAAACAGG
Molecule: ribosomal RNA, 404 nt
Filed under: uncultured Rubellimicrobium sp.
Lineage: Bacteria; Pseudomonadati; Pseudomonadota; Alphaproteobacteria; Rhodobacterales; Roseobacteraceae
Description: bacterial SSU rRNA
Rfam family: Bacterial small subunit ribosomal RNA
Source: RNAcentral